This 647-nucleotide ribosomal RNA is filed under the name uncultured bacterium. Its description in RNAcentral is "bacterial SSU rRNA". The stretch from base 1 to 548 matches the Rfam family "Bacterial small subunit ribosomal RNA", at positions 338 to 873 of the family's 1533-position model. The record is from RNAcentral.
CCUACGGGAGGCAGCAGUAGGGAAUCUUCCACAAUGGACGAAAGUCUGAUGGAGCAACGCCGCGUGAGUGAUGAAGGUUUUCGGAUCGUAAAACUCUGUUGUAAGGGAAGAACAAGUACGAGAGGGAAUGCUCGUACCUUGACGGUACCUUGCGAGAAAGCCACGGCUAACUACGUGCCAGCAGCCGCGGUAAUACGUAGGUGGCAAGCGUUGUCCGGAAUUAUUGGGCGUAAAGCGCGCGCAGGCGGCCUUUUAAGUCUGAUGUGAAAGCCCCCGGCUCAACCGGGGAGGGUCAUUGGAAACUGGAAGGCUUGAGUACAGAAGAGAAGAGUGGAAUUCCAUGUGUAGCGGUGAAAUGCGUAGAGAUGUGGAGGAACACCAGUGGCGAAGGCGACUCUUUGGUCUGUAACUGACGCUGAGGCGCGAAAGCGUGGGGAGCAAACAGGAUUAGAUACCCUGGUAGUCCACGCCGUAAACGAUGAGUGCUAGGUGUUGGGGGGUUUCCGCCCCGUUCAGUGCGUGAGACUACGACAUUAAGACACUCCGCCGUCGGGGAGGUACGGCCGGCGAACGGACGACGAACGUACGAAAGGAAAGUUAGUACGGCGUGAGACGUAGACCGAACGGACGACGACGAGGGAGGAGGG